UGGGGAAUAUUGGGCAAUGGGCGCAAGCCUGACCCAGCAAUGCCGCGUGAAGGAAGAAGGCUUUCGGGUUGUAAACUUCUUUGACAGGGGAAGAGACGAAGACGGUACCCUGAAAACAAGCCACGGCUAACUACGUGCCAGCAGCCGCGGUAAUACGUAGGUGGCGAGCGUUGUCCGGAUUUACUGGGUGUAAAGGGCGUGUAGCCGGGCAGGCAAGUCAGAUGUGAAAUCCAUGGGCUCAACCCAUGAACUGCAUUUGAAACUGCUUGUCUUGAGUACUGGAGAGGCAGACGGAAUUCCUAG
This 303-nucleotide ribosomal RNA is filed under the name uncultured bacterium. RNAcentral's name for it is "bacterial SSU rRNA". It matches the Rfam family "Bacterial small subunit ribosomal RNA", at positions 355 to 673 of the family's 1533-position model. The record is from RNAcentral.